UACGAAGGGUGCAAGCGUUACUCGGAAUUACUGGGCGUAAAGCGUGCGCAGACGGUUGCGUAAGUCAGAUGUGAAAGCCCCGGGCUCAACCUGGGAAUUGCAUUUGAGACUGCGUAGCUAGGGUGCGGAAGAGGGAAGCGGAAUUUCCGGUGUAGCGGUGAAAUGCGUAGAUAUCGGAAGGAACACCAGUGGCGAAAGCGGCUUCCUGGUCCAGCACCGACGUUCAGGCACGAAAGCGUGGGGAGCAAACAGG
RNAcentral lists this ribosomal RNA (253 nucleotides) under uncultured bacterium. RNAcentral's name for it is "partial 16S ribosomal RNA". It matches the Rfam family "Bacterial small subunit ribosomal RNA", at positions 524 to 776 of the family's 1533-position model. The record is from RNAcentral.